GCUUCGUUAGCUCAGUGGUAGAGCGUCCUCUUUGUAAGUGGAAAGUCGUCGGUUCAAAUCCGAUACUAAGCU
Molecule: transfer RNA, 72 nt
Filed under: Lepidodinium chlorophorum
Lineage: Eukaryota; Dinophyceae; Gymnodiniales; Gymnodiniaceae
Description: tRNA-Thr
Rfam family: tRNA
About the family: Transfer RNA (tRNA) molecules are approximately 80 nucleotides in length. Their secondary structure includes four short double-helical elements and three loops (D, anti-codon, and T loops).
Source: RNAcentral